RNA transcript from Carya illinoinensis, 2137 nucleotides. It is a transcript of the gene named heterogeneous nuclear ribonucleoprotein 1-like, with no coding region annotated. Lineage: Eukaryota; Viridiplantae; Streptophyta; Magnoliopsida; Fagales; Juglandaceae. The record is from RefSeq and is a predicted model, not a curated record. The transcript is spliced from 3 exons.
AAACAUAUUACUUCGAUAUACCUUUCGUAAUUGACCAUAAAAAUCCAGCCUCUCUCGAUCGACUUCGAGGCGGCCACAAACCCUUCCUUCCAAAUCCUCGAAUCAAAAUCCUCCGAGAAAAGCUUCCAAUACGUCAAGUUCAGAGGCUGAGACAAGCCGAACAAGUUAGAGGGCUAUGGAUUCAGAUCAGGGGAAGCUAUUCAUAGGUGGGAUCUCGUGGGAGACUACGGAGGAGAAGCUGAAGGAUUACUUUGAGAACUACGGAGACGUGAUUCAGACUGUAGUUAUGAGGGACAAGACUACUGGCAGGCCCAGGGGGUUCGGCUUCGUGGUCUUUGCAGAUCCUUCCGUUCUCGAUAGGGUUCUCCUGGACAUCCACACCAUUGAUGGCAGAACGGUUGAGGCUAAGAGGGCAUUAUCAAGAGAGGAGCAGCAAACUUCUGCCAAAGCUGGGAAUCCUAGUCUAGCUAGAAGUUCUGGGGGUGGUGGAACUUUCAGAACCAAGAAGAUCUUUGUUGGAGGAUUGCCUGCCACUCUAAGUGAAGAAGGAUUUCGUCAGCAUUUUGAGACUUAUGGCCAUGUAACCGAUGUAGUAGUCAUGUAUGACCAGAAUACUGGACGACCUCGUGGGUUUGGGUUUAUUACCUUUGACACUGAAGAAGCUGUUGAUAGGGUUUUACACAAAAACUUCCAUGAUUUAGAUGGUAAGCAAGUGGAAGUAAAGCGGGCUCUUCCUAAAGAUGCGAAUCCUGGUGGGGGUAGCCGUUCAAUGGGUGGUGGUGCUGGUGGUGGGGGUUCACUUGGUAGUGGUUAUCAGAACUAUGGGGCAUCUGGUGGUAACCCGAAUGCAUAUGAUGGUCGAAUGGAAUCCAAUAGGUACAUGCAGCCACAGAGUACUGGAGGUGGUUUUGGUCCAUAUGGCUCCUCUGGAUAUAGCACACCUGGCUAUGGAUAUGGUCCUGCCAAUAAUGGCAUUAGUUAUGGUGGUUAUGCUGGUGCCAAUACUGGGUAUGGUGGACCUGCCGGUGCAGCAUAUGGAAACCCAAAUAUUCCUAGUGCUGGUUUUGGAAGUGGUCCACCAGGCGCUCCCAGAAGUUCAUGGAGCACUCAAUCUCCUACUGGAUAUGGUGCUCUGGGUUAUGGUAAUACUGCUGCUUGGGGUGCUCCAACUGGAAGCACUGGUGCUCCUAGUGGUGGCCCAGGCUCAGCACCUACAGGCCAGUCGCCUAGUGGGGCCACUGGUUACGGGAAUCAAAGUUAUGGCUAUGGUGGUUAUGGUGGGAGUGAUGGGUCUUAUGGGAAUCCUGGUGGAUAUGGUGCUGUUGGAGGGCGUUCUGGGAGUGUGUCAAAUAACAAUGCUGGUGGUCCAGGUGGAGGGGAUAUGCAAGGGAGUGGUGGUGGAUACAUGGGAAGUGGCUAUGGUGAUGCUAAUGGUAAUCCAGGGUAUGGAAAUGCAGCAUGGAGAUCUGAACAAUCACAAACUUCUGGAAAUUAUGGUGCUCCUCAGGGGAAUGGUCCUCAUGGUGGGCAGGUUGCCUAUGGUGGUGGAUAUGGCAGUGCUCAAGCCCGAACCCAACAACAGUAAUUAUUAUGGCUAGAGAUCCAACUGGAUCACCAUCUUUGUUUCUUUACUGUGAGAGGCUCGGAAUUGUUUUCCAUGCCAGGCAGCACAGGGAGUGGUGCAAGUUGAAUGUCAACACCCUUUGGGACUGGAGAGAUGCACGAGGUCUAAAGUGGAGUGAAGUGUCCACUCAUGGCUGAACACAAGCAUCGUUGUGGGGGCGGGGGGGGAGUGUUCAGCAAGGGAAUUUGAGGACUUUGUUCAGUUGAAAUAACGGAUUUGCAUGGGACAGGUCAUUCUUCAGCCUGGUCAUGCCAACACUGUCAAACAUUGCAGAUUCCAGGCUUUCCAAGUGAUAAACUUCCUAAUCUUCACCCAGGUGUAGAGGGACUGGAGGAUUUUGUGAGGUCAACAGCACUCAUGAAUUCAUUGUGACCUAGUUGGUUAGGAUGAUGCCUUUUGAUUUAGAAUACAUCAAGGUAUUUGGUUUCAGAUGUUCCCAAGUAUAUUGGAAUGUGUCUUUGUUAAAAACAGUUCAAUGAAGUUUCAGAAUGAAGUAGAGGAUUUCCAAAAACA